GACGAGGGGUCCUAGCGUUGUUCGGAAUCACUGGGCGUAAAGCGUAUGUAGGCGGCUCUUCAAGUCAGGUGUGAAAUCCCAUGGCUUAACCAUGGAACUGCACUUGAAACUGUCGAGCUUGAAUGUUGGAGAGGAUGGUAGAAUUCCUGGUGUAGUGGUGAAAUACGUAGAUAUCAGGAGGAACACCGGUGGCGAAGGCGGCCAUCUGGCCGAACAUUGACGCUGAGAUACGAAAGUGCGGGGAU
Molecule: ribosomal RNA, 245 nt
Filed under: uncultured bacterium
Lineage: Bacteria
Description: partial 16S ribosomal RNA
Rfam family: Bacterial small subunit ribosomal RNA
Source: RNAcentral